Molecule: ribosomal RNA, 207 nt
Filed under: uncultured delta proteobacterium
Lineage: Bacteria; Deltaproteobacteria
Description: partial 16S ribosomal RNA
Rfam family: Bacterial small subunit ribosomal RNA
Source: RNAcentral
CACGUAGGCGGCCUUGUAAGUUGGAUGUGAAAGCCCUGGGCUCAACCCAGGAAGUGCAUCCAAAACUGCAUGGCUUGAGUACCGGAGGGGUUCAGAGAAUUCCCGGUGUAGAGGUGAAAUUCGUAGAUAUCGGGAGGAAUACCAGUGGCGAAGGCGCUGAACUGGACGGUAACUGACGCUGAGGUGCGAAAGCGUGGGUAGCAAACA